This 253-nucleotide ribosomal RNA is filed under the name uncultured bacterium. RNAcentral describes it as "partial 16S ribosomal RNA". It matches the Rfam family "Bacterial small subunit ribosomal RNA", at positions 524 to 776 of the family's 1533-position model. The record is from RNAcentral.
UUCGGAGGGGGCUAGCGUUGUUCGGAAUUACUGGGCGUAAAGCGCACGUAGGCGGCUUUGUAAGUUAGAGGUGAAAGCCCGGGGCUCAACUCCGGAAUUGCCUUUAAGACUGCAUCGCUAGAACGUCGGAGAGGUAAGUGGAAUUCCGAGUGUAGAGGUGAAAUUCGUAGAUAUUCGCAAGAACACCAGUGGCGAAGGCGGCUCACUGGCCCGAUACUGACGCUGAGGCGCGAAAGCGUGGGGAGCGAACAGG